UACUUGGGCAGUCAAGUGUAGAAUUGUUGUACCUAGGGCCAUAGAUUUGUUUGUGUAUUUACGUGUUUCAGGACAUAUGAUUAAUGUUCAUGGUCUGCUAGGAACAGCUGGUUGGAGGUCGCAUUUCAUGGUGAGAUGCUUGUAAAGAGACCUAAAGGAGGCCUUGAGCUACUGAAGUCACGUUUGAGGCGAGCUGCUGGAGUCAUCAUAGCACUUGAACUUGGUGUUGCUGGGGCAGGAUACUGGACUUUCAGGAAAGUCAACAGGGAUCAAGAGUUUCGUUAUUAUUUGCACCGCAACUGGCCGACGGUGCUGUCAGCAUACUACACCUUCUGCAACACCAUAGGGGAGGAGUACCGCCAGAUUGAGUCAGCCGACAUCCAGGCGUGGAAGGACCAGGUUCACAGAGUUCCGGCCUCAUCGUCCUCCCCUCAGAGCUGAUCAAUGGCGGCGGCGCGGGCGCUGGCCCACCUGGUGGUCUGGACGGGGCUCGGCUACUUCCUGAUGAGGAUGGUCACCCCCAGUGAUGAGGAAAUGCGCAAGGCGAUAAACCCAUACGGCGUGUCAAAGAACGAGAAGGAAACUAAGCUGGUUAUGGAGACGUUAAAGAGGUCUGCCGGCAUCAAGGGUGAAUAGGACCAUCUCGGAUGCCUAGUCGUAAAAGGUUGGCGACCUGCCAGUCAGCCUCGGCCGGCAAGGACACUCAAGCCGCGGUUCGGGUGCUCCCGUCCUCCACACGGUCCUUCGACCGAGCUGUGGCGGCGGGGCUAAGGCUGCUGGUGAAUUAUAUUGUUACGUUGCGACGAGAUAGAAUGAUGGAUGACAUGUAGUAUGUUAAUAAAGAUAUGAUGUGUGUA
This 857-nucleotide long non-coding RNA is filed under the name Pollicipes pollicipes. RNAcentral describes it as "uncharacterized LOC119112517". Lineage: Eukaryota; Metazoa; Arthropoda; Thecostraca; Pollicipedomorpha; Pollicipedidae. The record is from RNAcentral.